UUUUUUUUUAUUUUUGAAGUAGAAUGGAGAAUUAUCCUUACCUAGUUGACCAAGCUCUACUGAUAUGAUAGAUAUGCUGAUGUCUAACUUGGAGAUCUUGAUUAGGUUGGGAAAUGUAUCAGGUAGGUGGUUAUUCAUACAUAUCAUGAAACAAAUAUGUCAUCGAGAAAACAUUGAAAUUAGUCAUACAUGUAUGCUGUUGAGACAGUAACCAAACAACUGUUCAUAUAAUCAAAAUUAAAAACAAUUUGAUAGUAAUAUUUUAAAAAAUUACUUUAAAUGGCCUUAACAAUUACUAAGUAGAUGUAUUCAUGUAUGUUGUAGAAUUAUACUGAAAGUAUUUACUAGUUCAUUUGACUAGCAAAAAAAUGAUCAAUAUUUCAGGUUUUACAAAACAGACUAGACAAAUUGCAAGAUAGCAAUUAUGGAAGAGUCACAGUUGAAAAAACAUAAAAUCUAUGAAAACAGCUAACAGCUACUCAUAACAUUUUUUUUAAUCCUUUUGAUAUUUAAUUUGUUGUCUUUAUUUUAAACUACCAGUAAGCUUUAUAUAUUUAAAUAUGGAAACUCCAACAGCACACACUAAUUUCAACAAUUUUAUUUUUUGGUAUUUUGUGUUUUUUUUUCAGAUCAUGUAGAUGUAGAAGUAGAAGAAACAGCAGUGAAAAAGAAUGAGAGUCAUCAUUUUAAUAAACAUUUCGCUUGAAAUUGAAAUAAAUCUAUUUUUUUCUUCAUUAUGUAUUUCAAAUAUGAGCAUUGGGAUAAACCAGGCGCGUAGCUGCCUUUACGCAAAAAAUCAUUUGCUUGCACAUGUUUUUCACAAAAAAAAAUAAAAAAAUCCUGAAAUUGAAUUUCGGAUAGUCUUUAGUCUUUCCGGAUUAUCGUGUCUGGCGGUGUCUGUACUUGCAACUAUAAUCACGACACAAAGUUUAACCCCGGUAGAAAUCAAAAUAAAAAUGAAGAAACUAGAUUUUUAUUUUAGCAAGAAGGCAGCGGAUAACGAAAGCCAUCGAGUAGCCGUUCGAUUUCGUAUUCCCAUUGUCAUUUCGUCCAAAAGACUAUUGAUUCACCUAGGGUAUCUGUGUUACAAAUGACCUUCUACCGUUGUCGUAGAAACCUCUCAUUUGAUUUUAAAAUGACCCUCGUGAGAAACACCACGGGUGUCUUGCAAGAAGCAGGACCUGCUUACCUUCGGAGCACCGGAGGUCGCCACAUUUUUUCGGGGUCCGUGUUUUUCAUCUUUAGUUAG
This 1249-nucleotide long non-coding RNA is filed under the name Mytilus galloprovincialis (Mediterranean mussel). Lineage: Eukaryota; Metazoa; Mollusca; Bivalvia; Mytilida; Mytilidae. The record is from RNAcentral.